AGUGAACGCUGGCGGUAGGCCUAACCCAUGCAAGUCGAACGGCAGCACAGUAAGAGCUUGCUCUUACGGGUGGCGAGUGGCGGACGGGUGAGGAAUACAUCGGAAUCUACUUUUUCGUGGGGGAUAACGUAGGGAAACUUACGCUAAUACCGCAUACGACCUACGGGUGAAAGCAGGGGAUCUUCGGACCUUGCGCGAUUGAAUGAGCCGAUGUCGGAUUAGCUAGUUGGCGGGGUAAAGGCCCACCAAGGCGACGAUCCGUAGCUGGUCUGAGAGGAUGAUCAGCCACACUGGAACUGAGACACGGUCCAGACUCCUACGGGAGGCAGCAGUGGGGACUAUUGGACAAUGGGCGCAAGCCUGAUCCAGCCAUACCGCGUGGGUGAAGAAGGCCUUCGGGUUGUAAAGCCCUUUUGUUGGGAAAGAAAAGCAGCAGGUUAAUACCCCGCUGUUCCGACGGUACCCAAAGAAUAAGCACCGGCUAACUUCGUG
Molecule: ribosomal RNA, 492 nt
Filed under: uncultured bacterium
Lineage: Bacteria
Description: partial 16S ribosomal RNA
Rfam family: Bacterial small subunit ribosomal RNA
Source: RNAcentral